CUCAAGGAACACUGUUGUCUGGGUAUUCCAAUGAUAGCAAUUUGCUGGUACCACCCUUCCCCCAGCUUCAUUUUCUGAUGGAGAUGGUGACACCACGAGGGACCCUCUUUACUGAGAAGAAUGACAGCAUUACCUCUGAGUGUGGCUGGAGUACAAUGGCGCGAUCUCGGCUCACUGCAACCUCUGCCUCAUGGGUUCAAGAGAUUCUCCUGCCUCAGCCUCCCGAGUAGAUGGGAUUACAGAAUGUGUAUUUUCAUAUUGACACAGCCAACCCCUUCUCCCUGAAGAUCAGAGCUCAUGGUGUCUACACAUGGACCAAACAGCUGAUGACAGGCCAACACACAUCCCAAUUGCCAAAAGACUCAGAAGCACAACUUCAACUUCUUAUUCUUCUUCGCAAUUCAAACCUCAGACCAAAAUAAACUGUAUCUCUUUUUUAAGUCAACCAUUUCUUAAGCCAUUUAGUACCACACACCUUGAAUAACUGAUUUCAUCUCAUUUAUGUAUAUUGAGCUGCCUUACAUAUCUUUGAUGGAAGCCAGUACCUUAAAGUUAUCCAUUUAUCUACUGUACUGAGUGUGCCUCUGUUUGGAUUUAGCUGUCAACACUUCACACAUGUGAAAUCAAUCUGUGUGAUAUUAAUGUAAACACUGUGCAUUACAAAGUGGUGGACAUUUUAUUGUUCUAACAACAAAAAUAGACAAAAAUGUUUGUAUGUGUUUGUUUUUUCUAUGGCAUACGAAAUAACACAAUAUAAGCGACAGCAUGCAUUUUACAAAGAGGAAUCAUUUAAAAAGGUAAAAGCAAGGUAGGGGUUGUUGGAGAAUGCUUGAUUCUCCAGGCUAUUCUAACAGGACGGUGGAGGCAGGAAUUAUGCACAGAAUAAAGAUUCUUAUGAAGAAAAAAUUGCCAUUCACAUCACUUUCCCCACAUUGGUAUUACAAGCU
Long non-coding RNA from Gorilla gorilla gorilla (western lowland gorilla), 947 nucleotides. RefSeq lists it as uncharacterized. NCBI's taxonomy places the organism in Eukaryota, Metazoa, Chordata, Mammalia, Primates, Hominidae. The record is from RefSeq and is a predicted model, not a curated record. The transcript is spliced from 3 exons.